This 497-nucleotide ribosomal RNA is filed under the name uncultured bacterium. RNAcentral's name for it is "partial 16S ribosomal RNA". It matches the Rfam family "Bacterial small subunit ribosomal RNA", at positions 28 to 507 of the family's 1533-position model. The record is from RNAcentral.
GAUGAACGCUGGCGGCGUGCCUAAUACAUGCAAGUCGAGCGAACGGACGAGAAGCUUGCUUCUCUGAUGUUAGCGGCGGACGAGUGAGUAACACGUGGAUAACCUACCUAUAAGACUGGGAUAACUUCGGGAAACCGGAGCUAAUACCGGAUAAUAUUUUGAACCGCAUGGUUCAAAAGUGAAAGACGGUCUUGCUGUCACUUAUAGAUGGAUCCGCGCUGCAUUAGCUAGUUGGUAAGGUAACGGCUUACCAAGGCAACGAUGCAUAGCCGACCUGAGAGGGUGAUCGGCCACACUGGAACUGAGACACGGUCCAGACUCCUGCGGGAGGCAGCAGUAGGGAAUCUUCCGCAAUGGGCGAAAGCCUGACGGAGCAACGCCGCGUGAGUGAUGAAGGUCUUCGGAUCGUAAAACUCUGUUAUUAGGGAAGAACAUAUGUGUAAGUAACUGUGCACAUCUUGACGGUACCUAAUCAGAAAGCCACGGCUAACUACGUG